RNAcentral lists this ribosomal RNA (408 nucleotides) under uncultured prokaryote. Its description in RNAcentral is "bacterial SSU rRNA". It matches the Rfam family "Bacterial small subunit ribosomal RNA", at positions 355 to 774 of the family's 1533-position model. The record is from RNAcentral.
UAGGGAAUAUUGGUAAUCUGGGAAACCGGGAACCAGCAACGCCGCGUGCGGGAUGACGGCCUUCGGGUUGUAAACCGCUUUUGAUCGGGAGAAAGCCUUCGGGUGAGUGUACCUUUCGAAUAAGCACCGUCUAACUACGUGCCAGCAGCCGCGGUAAUACGUAGGGUGCAAGCGUUAUCCGGAAUUAUUGGGCGUAAAGGGCUCGUAGGCGGUUCGUCGCGUCCGGUGUGAAAGUCCAUCGCGUAACGGUGGAUCUGCGCCGGGUACGGGCUGGCUGGAGUGCGGUAGGGGAGACUGGAAUUCCCGGUGUAACGGUGGAAUGUGUAGAUAUCGGGAAGAACACCAAUGGCGAAGGCAGGUCUCUGGGCCGUUACUGACGCUGAGGAGCGAAAGCGUGGGGAGCGAACA